AGCGAACGCUGGCGGCAGGCCUAACACAUGCAAGUCGAACGAACUCUUCGGAGUUAGUGGCGGACGGGUGAGUAACACGUGGGAACGUGCCUUUAGGUUCGGAAUAACUCAGGGAAACUUGUGCUAAUACAGAAUGUGCCCUUCGGGGGAAAGAUUUAUCGCCUUUAGAGCGGCCCGCGUCUGAUUAGCUAGUUGGUGAGGUAAAGGCUCACCAAGGCGACGAUCAGUAGCUGGUCUGAGAGGAUGAUCAGCCACAUUGGGACUGAGACACGGCCCAAACUCCUACGGGAGGCAGCAGUGGGGAAUCUUGCGCAAUGGGCGAAAGCCUGACGCAGCCAUGCCGCGUGAAUGAUGAAGGUCUUAGGAUUGUAAAAUUCUUUCAUCGGGGACGAUAAUGACGGUACCCGGAGAAGAAGCCCCGGCUAACUUCGUG
RNAcentral lists this ribosomal RNA (433 nucleotides) under uncultured bacterium. RNAcentral describes it as "partial 16S ribosomal RNA". It matches the Rfam family "Bacterial small subunit ribosomal RNA", at positions 29 to 507 of the family's 1533-position model. The record is from RNAcentral.